Molecule: ribosomal RNA, 248 nt
Filed under: uncultured bacterium
Lineage: Bacteria
Description: partial 16S ribosomal RNA
Rfam family: Bacterial small subunit ribosomal RNA
Source: RNAcentral
CCUGGCGACAGGAUGCUAAUCCCAAAAACCUCUCUCAGUUCGGAUCGAAGUCUGCAACCCGACUCCAUGAAGCUGGAUUCGCUAGUAAUCGCGCAUCAGCCACGGCGCGGUGAAUACGUUCCCGGGCCUUGUACACACCGCCCGUCAAACCAUGAGAGUUGGCAACACCCGAAGUCGGUAGUCUAACCGCAAGGAGGACGCCGCCGAAGGUGGGGUUGAUGAUUAGGGUUAAGUCGUAACAAGGUACC